This 407-nucleotide ribosomal RNA is filed under the name uncultured bacterium. RNAcentral describes it as "partial 16S ribosomal RNA". It matches the Rfam family "Bacterial small subunit ribosomal RNA", at positions 30 to 526 of the family's 1533-position model. The record is from RNAcentral.
AUUGAACGCUGGCGGCAGGCCUAACACAUGCAAGUCGAGCGGAGCGGCGGACGGGUGCGUAAUGCCUAGGAAUCGGCCUGUUCGUGGGGGCUAGCGUCCGGAAACGGGCGCUAAUACCGCAUCCUAUCAGAUGAGCCUCGGUCGGAUUAGCUAGUUGGUGGGGUAAAGGCCUACCAAGGCGACGAUCCGUAACUGGUCUGAGAGGAUGAUCAGUCACACUGGAACUGAGACACGGUCCAGACUCCUACGGGAGGCAGCAGUGGGGAAUAUUGGACAAUGGGCGAAAGCCUGAUCCAGCCAUGCCGCGUGUGUGAAGAAGGUCUUCGGAUUGUAAAGCACUUUAAGUUGGGAGGCGUUACCAACAGAAUAAGCACCGGCUAACUUCGUGCCAGCAGCCGCGGUAAUAC